GCAAACGGCCGGCAUGGGCUCCGCCCUUUCACGGCGGUAGCGCCGGUUCGAAUCCGGUAGGGGGUGCA
Molecule: transfer RNA, 68 nt
Filed under: Nocardioides terrae
Lineage: Bacteria; Bacillati; Actinomycetota; Actinomycetes; Propionibacteriales; Nocardioidaceae
Description: tRNA_Pseudo_TTC
Source: RNAcentral